AUUGAACGCUAGCGGGAUGCCUUACACAUGCAAGUCGAACGGAGCGGCGAACGGGUGAGUAAUGCAUCGGAAUCUGCCUAGUAGCGGGGGAUAACUACCCGAAAGCGUCGCUAAUACCGCAUACUAUUGGAGCGGCCGAUAUCGGAUUAGCUAGUUGGUGGGGUAACGGCCCACCAAGGCGACGAUCCGUAGCUGGUUUGAGAGGAUGACCAGUCACACUGGGACUGUGACACGGCCCAGACUCCUACGGGAGGCAGCAGUGGGGAAUAUUGGACAAUGGGGGAAACCCUGAUCCAGCCAUACCGCGUGUGCGAAGAAGGCCUUCGGGUUGUAAAGCACUUUUGGUGGGGAGGCGGUACCAGCAGAAUAAGCACCGGCUAACUACGUGCCAGCAGCCGCGGUAAUAC
This 407-nucleotide ribosomal RNA is filed under the name uncultured bacterium. Its description in RNAcentral is "partial 16S ribosomal RNA". It matches the Rfam family "Bacterial small subunit ribosomal RNA", at positions 30 to 526 of the family's 1533-position model. The record is from RNAcentral.